GUUUAAAUAUCUUAGCCCUGUGCUGACAUCUCCACCUGGACCCCUCUGCACGGCGCCUGACCCAGAGCACCAGAGCCGGACCCUGGGACUUGCCCUGCUCUUCUCUCUCUCUCUCUCUGCCUGUCUCUCUCUCUUUCUCUGUCUCUCUCUCUCUCUGCCCCACAUUCACCCAAUCACCAGAUCCUAGGGAGUCCACCCUCCUAGACUCUGUUGUGUCUUCCGUCCCACAUCUUCACCGACUCCCGCCAGGUUCCGGUUGUGCUGCCACUGCCGCGUCACCAGCCGUCCUGCCUCUCUGGUCCCUCCUCACCCAAACUCUGCUGGAAGGUGCUGUUCAACAUGACCAAGAUGCCAUCGCAGAAGAACUCUUGUCACAGUGGAUUCCUACCCAAAUUUACCGCCAGGAAAAAGUUAUUGGUUUUCGGGGUUUUUUUUGGUCUUGAGGGGAAGUUCUGAGGCGGCUGCUUGCUGCUGGCGGGAAGAAGAAAGCAGAGGACCUGCUGGAAUUGGGUUACGCAUGCGGCUGUCUCCCUGCACGCGGCAGCCGCACGCGCGGCGUCCGUGGACCCUGUAGCUCCCUUGGUGUCUUGGGAGGAACUUGUGGCGUUUUGCACCCACACCAGCCCUGCUCCCUGGAAGAGGAGGCGGAGCUGUGGUGAGGUUCCCAGGCCGCUGAACGGGGGGAGCACAGAGCCUCGCCCUGUGGAGGCCCAGCCUGUGCUGGGUACCAAGAGACGAGCGAUGGAUGGACACGGACGCCCAUGUCCACGUGGGCGGUAGCUGGCGGGGAGGGGGACCUGGCUUGCACAGCGCAUCCCUGGGUGCCGUGCUGGUGCAGCCCCUCCCAGGGUGCCCAGCCGCCCAAAGCCCAGGUCCUCACCUCCUCAUGGCGGGAGAGCGGGUCUCUGGGGAUGAGGGGACCCUCACAUUAGGCGGACACGCGGAGCGAUCGGCCACCGGUGGAAAUGCGCCUCCCACCUUGACGCUGAGGCUGCUCGGUUCUCAGCCAGAGAGAGGCCGGGUCCCCACUAGUGCCCGGUCCUCUGCCGGUGUGGCUCUCAGCUCAGGUUGCUGCUGUCUGCCAAGCUGAGCCCAGAAGUGUGGACCCAAACUUGACGCCCCCUUUCCCUCGUUCUUCCCGUCUGCUCGGCUUCAACCACGGAUGGAUCCUGCCUCCCGUGCCUCCUGGGCUGGGGCUUCAUCACGACUCCACUUCCCCGUCUUCUUCACGUGGGUGCUCACUGACUCUUGCUCGCGUCAUUGGGAUAGCCUCUAAUCUUGUGACCCACCAACCCCCUGGGACUGUGGACAGGAGCCACGUCUCACAGUAUCACCUCUCCCCUCCCGCUAUCCAGCCCUGUCCCGGGGCUGAGCCUGGGGCCUGGCACGUGGUCACCCAGAAAAGUGAAGAUCAACAGCCGCGGCUACCCAGCCCACGAUGGAAACCCCACUGAGGCCGAGUUCUCUGGAAGGGCCUCCGAGCGCCCCGCAGGCUGCACCCGGAGAUGCUGGAGACAUCUGUCACCCUCUGGCUUCCCAGAAAACCGAACAGCACAGGCCGUUUCCCGUGGGUCUGAGUGAAAUUGUCACUGUGGCUGCUUCCUCGCAUCCCCCUUUUAUCAGCGUCUUUGUAGCUUUAUCCCUCGUUUCUCUCUGUGAUUUCUGGACGAGGUGCCACUCAGCUGGUUGUAUGCUAAAGCUGCUUCCAACCCUUCCCCUUAGAGCUGUUAUGACGGGAUUAAGGGCUUUCUCUCCUUUCACACAAUCAUUCAUUAAAAUGCUUUUUUG
Molecule: long non-coding RNA, 1788 nt
Organism: Equus caballus (horse)
Lineage: Eukaryota; Metazoa; Chordata; Mammalia; Perissodactyla; Equidae
Source: Ensembl